This 20-nucleotide ribosomal RNA is filed under the name Candidatus Liberibacter asiaticus. RNAcentral describes it as "partial 16S ribosomal RNA". The record is from RNAcentral. Lineage: Bacteria; Pseudomonadati; Pseudomonadota; Alphaproteobacteria; Hyphomicrobiales; Rhizobiaceae.
CUUUCUAAGGAAGAUGUUGA